RNAcentral lists this long non-coding RNA (2289 nucleotides) under Oryctolagus cuniculus (rabbit). Its description in RNAcentral is "lncRNA (ENSOCUG00000031090.1)". Lineage: Eukaryota; Metazoa; Chordata; Mammalia; Lagomorpha; Leporidae. The record is from RNAcentral.
AUGUUCAAAGAAAAUGUCUUUCACUGGCACAACAUAAAGGAUACAAGAAUCCAGAGAAACAUGAAUAGACUUCAACAAAGCACUUUCAACACGGCAAAUCUCAGAUGGUGGCUUUUGGUUUCAAGCAGUGUAAUCAGAUUACUCGAGGAACAUUUUGUUUUGCUCCAAGCUACAAAGUCCCAUGGGAGAAAAAUCCAGCAACUGCACCGCUCGGGAGCCACAUGCUAUCCCUUUGAUGCUGACUACCUUCCGCUGCCUGCUGCUGGUGAGCGCUCCAGCCCUACAACGUUGGCCACAAGCGUUCACCGUCUUCUCAAACCCUCUAGCCCAUCCAUGUCACUGCUUCCUGCCUGGAGGUCUGUACGGGUGAAGGCACGCUCCCCUGCAAACCUAACUCCAUUCACGAACAUCCUCAACCCCACUUCUCAGCCUCUGCAGGAGAAUGUGUACUUUUUUUCUUUUUGUUUUUGGACUCAUCCUCUUGCCACUCCCUUUGAAAAUGUUUUCCCUUGGGUCUAUGUCUCUCUCCUACUUCUUGCAGUGUAUAGGUGUAGACAACUAACUUAUAUUAAAGACCUGCCUACUCCCCUUGGUCUGUAGUCUACCUCCUACUUUAAAUGACGUACCCAGAAAUGGCACUCUGCACCCACUGCCACCUGCUGAUGCUCACUACGCUCCAUCACUGGAAUGACGUUCCCAAAGCCACUAUUAAUUGUUCUUACCAAAACAGCCUCUGACUUGUAAAAUGGCUUCAUUUUACACCCCAUCCCAGCUUGACCUCUUGGGGGCAUCUGAUAUUAUUAACCACCUCCCUUUUCGAAAUUGUUCUCGGAUGGCUCCUUUCCUGAGACGGGUACACCAGAGCCCUGUGCCUGGCCCCUUCUCUCAGCGAGCUCUCCCUAGGCAAUCUCACCCCUUCACCGUGUGGGCCCCGAGGCCCUGCAACUUCCACCCCUCAACACUGGGCUGCCGUCUUUCUGCCAAGCAUCUCGGUUUGGUUGCUCCCUUCUCAAUCGGCUAAAACCAAACCCAAUCACGCCUCUCUGCUCUCCUCUCUCUCUAGUCGGAAAGUCUCACAAACUCCAGGUCCCCGAUCUGCAUGGCACACGCCUGCACCCUGAGCUUCCCGGGGUCUGGCCUGGGCGCAGGUCUCCCCAGGGGCCAUUGGCUUCACCCAGGCCUUGCCUGGAAAACACACUGCACCGGGCUGCCUCGUCUUCUCCUCGGGUGCGCAUCCACACCAGUCUCCUGAUUUUAAAACUUCCAAUGAGGGGCUCAUGGCCUGCAGGGCACGAAUGUGUCAUCACUCAGCUCUACACAGACAACCGUGUCCAGCCUCAUUUCCUGUCCCAGUGGGUCCCACUUCCGGGGGCCUUAGGGUCCAGAUGUACCGUCACGCAGCUCUACACACAGACAACCAUGUCUACCCUCACUUCCUGUCCCGGUCAGUCCCACUUCCGGGGGCCUUAGGGUCCGGGUGUACCGUCACGCAGCUCUACACACACAACCAUGUCCACCUCACUUCCUGUCCCGGCCGGUUCCACUUCCGGGAGACUUAGGUUCCAUCUCACUCCCCGGAAACCAGUACUUUACGGCUCCACCGCGGGGCCCAGGCCGUUUCGAAGCGUGUUCCCCAGUCUCCACGUGCCGGGCGGCUGCACCCUCCAAGGCUCGGCUCCAACGCCGGCUUCCCAGAGGGGAGUUCCCAGCACGGUUCCUACACGAGGCUGCGACUGGCAGAGUGGCACCACACUUCCUUAUUCCUCACCCCUCAGCAGGCUCAGAAUCCUUUAAGACUCGCAUCUGUGCCCCCAGUGCUCAGGGACUCCGCUGCCUCGCUGAUGGGCCACAGUGUGUGUUACAAGGCUUGGGAAAAGUCCCUCAUUCAUUCACCUGUGGUCUGUUAGGUGUGGCGAUGGACAGGUGCAUACCAGCCGGCCUUUCCCACUGAGGAGAUUGUCAGGAACACAAACACACCAACGGCUGUCAGGUGCAGGAGAAGCCGAGAGACACAAAGUGUUUCCCGGGACACUGCAGAGCGAGGAGAGGACGGUGUGCCUGGCCAGUGCAGGGCCCUGGGGGUGAGGAGCUGGUUGGAGGAUGCAUCUGGGACGGACGAUGCCCACAGUGAACAAGCAGGGAAAGAGAAGCGGCCAGAAACAUGGGAGGGGCAAUGGGCAAAUUCAUUUCUGUCUCCUGCCCCAAGCCCUGGUACUCAAGGUCAGGACACAAUCUUUGCAAAUAGCCCCCAUCUUCAUUGUGAAAAUAAACAACGACAUCAGGAUAUCA